GGGGUCUUACUCUAUGCAGCAAGAUGAGGGAAGAUUAAUCUUUAAAGCCUAGAUUGCAUUUUACUUUUUUCCAAGACAGUCGGCUUGGAGACACUUCAAGGCACGUACAAGAUGUCGUUGACAGAUAAACACCACUUGUCAGCUUUACCUUCUGCCUUACAAUGACCCAAAGAGUGGCAUUACUGUGUAAGCAAUACAUGCCCCAUGGUGUCCUAUAGCAGUCACAGUGUUUCCUUUCUGACAGUAAAUUCCAGCGCACUGAGGCACUCUGCACCAAAGUCAAGAGCAAGUCCAUAGGUCAGGGCAGCAGACAAAACAGCAGGAAGAAGGAGAGCAGUUUCUUUCUUUCGACUGCUUUGGUGAAUCAAUCAGAAUAAAUAUAUAUAUAUAUAUAAUAUAAGGGAUGCUAAGAAAGGAAAAGUGAUGGGAAUUUUGCCAUUGACUUCAAGAGAGCCAAAGCUUAUUUCACUCUGUUUUUAAGAGGAAACUUGAAAGAGGAAUCUGCAACCAGGAGAGGAAAGAGACAUUGCAGCCCAGAUUUUUGUUCUUACUUCCACAGGUGAAAUUGGAAGCUACUACUCACCUGAGCUAUGCCUAGGCAGCCAGUGGCAGUCCACACCUUGCCCUGCCCAGAAGGAACCAGCCAUGGUCCAAGACUGUCAGUCACAAUGCUUCUUCCUCUUGAGAUUCACACCAUGAAUUGUUCCUGCAGGCAUUUUGGCCAAGUCAGCUGGAUGGUACUCAACACCCCUCUACUUCUGCCUUCUCACAGAGCAACUGUGGAUUUGUCAGAGACGUCAGAGGAAGAAUUCUCAAGAGGAAAAGAUAUUAAUAUGACAACGAUCUGCAAUGGAAGGGGAGUGGGAUGCUGA
Molecule: long non-coding RNA, 872 nt
Filed under: Anas platyrhynchos platyrhynchos (common mallard)
Lineage: Eukaryota; Metazoa; Chordata; Aves; Anseriformes; Anatidae
Description: lncRNA (ENSAPLG00000028127.1)
Source: RNAcentral